Non-coding RNA from Salmo salar (Atlantic salmon), 58 nucleotides. NCBI's taxonomy places the organism in Eukaryota, Metazoa, Chordata, Actinopteri, Salmoniformes, Salmonidae. The record is from Rfam.
UGGCUCAGUUGGUAGAGCAUGAUGUUUGCAACGCCAGGGUUGUGGGUUCGAUUCCCAU